This 253-nucleotide ribosomal RNA is filed under the name uncultured bacterium. RNAcentral describes it as "partial 16S ribosomal RNA". It matches the Rfam family "Bacterial small subunit ribosomal RNA", at positions 524 to 776 of the family's 1533-position model. The record is from RNAcentral.
UACGUAGGCAGCGAGCGUUGUUCGGAAUUACUGGGCGUAAAGAGUGUGUAGGUGGUGCUCUAAGUUUGGUGUGAAAUCUCCCGGCUCAACCGGGAGGGUGCAUCGAAAACUGGAGUGCUAGAGGAUGGGAGAGGCAAGCGGAAUUCCUGGUGUAGCAGUGAAAUGCGUAGAUAUCAAGUUGAACACCAGUGGCGAAGGCGAGUCCCUGGACAACUCCUGACACUGAGGCACGAAAGCUAGGGGAGCAAACAGG